CAGGAUCUUCAGGGCGGGGUGAAAUUCCCCACCGGCGGUACAGCCCGCGAGCCGAAAGGCAGACUUGGUGAAACUCCAAGGCCGACAGUAAAGUCUGGAUGAAAGAAGAUCGUG
Non-coding RNA from Oscillibacter sp. KLE 1745, 114 nucleotides. The record is from Rfam. NCBI's taxonomy places the organism in Bacteria, Bacillati, Bacillota, Clostridia, Eubacteriales, Oscillospiraceae.